Molecule: ribosomal RNA, 301 nt
Filed under: uncultured bacterium
Lineage: Bacteria
Description: partial 16S ribosomal RNA
Rfam family: Bacterial small subunit ribosomal RNA
Source: RNAcentral
CAGCCGCCGCGGGAAUACGUAGGUGGCAAGCGUUGUCCGGAAUUAUUGGGCGUAAAGGGCUCGCAGGCGGUUUCUUAAGUCUGAUGUGAAAGCCCCCGGCUCAACCGGGGAGGGUCAUUGGAAACUGGGAAACUUGAGUGCAGAAGAGGAGAGUGGAAUUCCACGUGUAGCGGUGAAAUGCGUAGAGAUGUGGAGGAACACCAGUGGCGAAGGCGACUCUCUGGUCUGUAACUGACGCUGAGGAGCGAAAGCGUGGGGAGCGAACAGGAUUAGAUACCCCCGUAGUCCCUGUCUCUUAUAU